RNAcentral lists this ribosomal RNA (466 nucleotides) under uncultured bacterium. RNAcentral describes it as "partial 16S ribosomal RNA". It matches the Rfam family "Bacterial small subunit ribosomal RNA", at positions 28 to 507 of the family's 1533-position model. The record is from RNAcentral.
GACGAACGCUGGCGGCGUGCUUAACACAUGCAAGUCGAACGGAAAGGCCCUGCUUGCAGGGUCCUCGAGUGGCGAACGGGUGAGUAACACGUGGGUGAUCUGCCCUGCACUUCGGGAUAAGCUUGGGAAACUGGGUCUAAUACCGGAUAGGAGCCAUCUUUAGUGUGGUGGUUGGAAAGUUUUUUCGGUGUAGGAUGAGCUCGCGGCCUAUCAGCUUGUUGGUGGGGUAAUGGCCUACCAAGGCGGCGACGGGUAGCCGGCCUGAGAGGGUGUACGGACACAUUGGGACUGAGAUACGGCCCAGACUCCUACGGGAGGCAGCAGUGGGGAAUAUUGCACAAUGGGCGCAAGCCUGAUGCAGCGACGCCGCGUGGGGGAUGAAGACCUUCGGGUUGUAAGCUCCUUUCGCUAGGGACGAAGCUUUUUUGUGACGGUACCUAGAUAAGAAGCACCGGCUAACUACGUG